This 24-nucleotide non-coding RNA is filed under the name Drosophila melanogaster (fruit fly). Lineage: Eukaryota; Metazoa; Arthropoda; Insecta; Diptera; Drosophilidae. The record is from RNAcentral.
AUGCGAAUGUUUGAAGUGGAGAUA